This 255-nucleotide long non-coding RNA is filed under the name Anas platyrhynchos platyrhynchos (common mallard). Its description in RNAcentral is "lncRNA (ENSAPLG00000020112.1)". The record is from RNAcentral. Lineage: Eukaryota; Metazoa; Chordata; Aves; Anseriformes; Anatidae.
AUGAUCUCUGAAACUACUUGUUCUCUUUCUAAGCACGUACCCACUUUGUCUGCAGUGUGCAAGAUAAGGAGGCAGAAUCCAGCACAGGACCUCUAUGGACUAGAGUUGACUUUAGCCCUGUUCAGUGAAUCUACAACAGAUGUUGUAUUUCUAGCUCCUAAGUUUAUAAAGAAAAUCUUCAAAACUCAAGCUAAAUCAUCCAAUAAGAUCAAGAGACAAACAGAAAUGUGUAAUAAAAAUAAUAAAAAUCAAUAA